RNA transcript from Myotis brandtii (Brandt's bat), 799 nucleotides. It is a transcript of the gene named elongation factor 1-alpha 1 pseudogene, with no coding region annotated. The record is from RefSeq and is a predicted model, not a curated record. Lineage: Eukaryota; Metazoa; Chordata; Mammalia; Chiroptera; Vespertilionidae. The transcript has a single exon.
CAUGAAGCUUUGAGUGAAGCUCUUCCUAGGGACAAUGUGGGCUUCAAUGUCAGGAAUGUGUCUGUCAAAGAUGUUCAUUGUGGCAAUGUGGCUGGUGACAGCAAAAAUGACCCACCAAUGGAAGCAGCUGGCUUCACAGCUCAGGUGAUUAUCCUGAACCACCCAGGCCAGAUCAGUGCUGGAUAUGCACCUGUGAUGGAUUGUCACACAGCUCACAUUGCUUGCAAAUUUGCUGAGCUGAAGGAGAAGAUUGAUUACCGUUCUGGGAAAAAGCUGGCAGAUGGCCCCAAGUUUUUGAAAUCUGGUGAUGCUGCCAUCGUCGAUAUGGUUCCUGGCAAGCCCAUGUGUGUUGAGAGCUUCUCUGACUACCCUCCUCUGGGCUGUUUCGCUGUUUGUGACAUGAGACAGACAGUUGCUGUGGGUGUCAUCAGAGCAGUGGACAAGAAGGCAGCUGGAGCUGACAAAGUCACCAAGUCUGACCAGGAAGCUCAGAAGGCUAAAUGCAUAUUAUUCCCAACACCUGCCACCCCAGUCUCAAUCAGUGGUGGAAGAACGGUCUCAGAACUGUUUGUCUCAAUUGGCCAUUUAAGUUUAAUAGUAAAAGACUGGUUAAUGAUUACAAUGCAUCGUAAAACCUUCAAAAGGAAAGGAGAAUGUUUUGUGGACCAUUUGGUUCUUUUGUGUGUGUGGCAGUUUUUAAGUUAUUAGUUUUUAAAAUCAGUACUUUUUAAUGGAAACAACAUGACCAAAAAUCUGUCACAGAAUUUUGAGACCCAUUAAAAUAACAAAGUUUAAUGAG